This 325-nucleotide ribosomal RNA is filed under the name uncultured eukaryote. RNAcentral's name for it is "partial 18S ribosomal RNA". It matches the Rfam family "Eukaryotic small subunit ribosomal RNA", at positions 1469 to 1796 of the family's 1831-position model. The record is from RNAcentral.
UCCCUUAGAUGCUCUGGGCCGCACGCGCGCUACACUGGUCGAUGCAACGAGUUUCUUUCCUUGGCCGACAGGCCUGGGCAAUCUUUGAACAUCGAUCGUGAUCGGGAUAGAUUCUUGUAAUUUUUGAUCUUAAACGAGGAAUUCCUAGUAAACGCAAGUCAUCAGCUUGCAUUGAUUACGUCCCUGCCCUUUGUACACACCGCCCGUCGCACCUACCGAUUGAAUGGUCCGGUGAAAUCUCCGGACUGGCGUGAGUCGGAGCAAUCUGGCAAACGCCGGAAAGUUGAUUAAACCUUACCAUUUAGAGGAAGGUGAAGUCGUAACA